UCUUCCUCUUCCUCCAUAACU
Molecule: microRNA, 21 nt
Filed under: Lotus japonicus
Lineage: Eukaryota; Viridiplantae; Streptophyta; Magnoliopsida; Fabales; Fabaceae
Description: lja-miR11117a-5p
Source: miRBase by way of RNAcentral